AGAAGUUAGCUUAUUACUACAAUUAGCUGAACUGUUAGAUAUUUGCCACUUUUCUGAUUUUUGGGAACUUUUGUUCUCAAGUGGCGUAGAUUAUUCGCGAGCCGUUGGAUUUAUAGAUCACAUUCGUCAUUUUAUUAGAGAUAUCAUACUUUCUUCCUACAGGACCAUCUCAAAAUCGUGCCUAAAAAUAGAAUUUAAUUUUACUGAAGCCGAAGUUGAUGAAUAUAUACAGCAGCAAUCUUGGAUUCCUCUUUUUAAUAAUCUUAUUGAUUUAAACACAAGACACGAAAUGG
Zophobas morio is the source of this 293-nucleotide long non-coding RNA. RefSeq lists it as uncharacterized. The record is from RefSeq and is a predicted model, not a curated record. Lineage: Eukaryota; Metazoa; Arthropoda; Insecta; Coleoptera; Tenebrionidae. The transcript is spliced from 3 exons.